GGGCCUUGAAGGAAGGGGGCCGAGACCGGGCCUUACUUCUGUAACGAUACUGUGAGGCAUCGGAAGGCCAGCCUGUUGUGUCCGUUUUGAAGAAUGAACGGAGACCAGAAAUCAGAUGUUUAUGCCCAAGAAAAGCAGGAUUUUGUUCAGCACUUCUCCCAGAUCGUUAGGAUGCUGACUGAGGAUGAGAUGGGGCACCCAGAGACAGGAGAUGCUAUUGCCCGGCUCAAGGAGGUCCUGGAGUACAAUGCCAUUGGAGGCAAGUAUCACCGGGGUUUGACGGUGGUAGUAGCAUUCCGGGAGCUGGUGCAGCCAAGGAAACAGGAUGCUGAUAGUCUCCAGCGGGCCCGGACUGUGGGCUGGUGUGUGGAACUGCUGCAAGCUUUCUUCCUGGUGGCAGAUGACAUCAUGGAUUCAUCCCUCACCCGCCGGGGACAGAUCUGCUGGUAUCAGAAGCCAGGCGUGGGUUUGGAUGCCAUCAAUGAUGCUAACCUCCUGGAAGCAUGUAUCUACCGCCUGCUGAAGCUCUAUUGCCGGGAGCAGCCCUAUUACCUGAACCUGAUUGAGCUCUUCCUGCAGAGUUCCUAUCAGACUGAGAUUGGGCAGACUCUGGACCUCAUCACAGCCCCCCAGGGCAAUGUGGAUCUUGUCAGAUUCACUGAAAAGAGGUACAAAUCUAUUGUCAAGUACAAGACAGCUUUCUACUCCUUCUACCUUCCUAUAGCUGCAGCCAUGUACAUG
Molecule: small RNA, 741 nt
Filed under: Pongo abelii (Sumatran orangutan)
Lineage: Eukaryota; Metazoa; Chordata; Mammalia; Primates; Hominidae
Description: processed transcript
Source: RNAcentral